UAGACCUCAAAUCAGUCAGGACUACCCGCUGAACUUAAGCAUAUCAAUAAGCGGAGGAAAAGAAACUAACAAGGAUUCCCCUAGUAACGGCGAGUGAAGUGGGAAAAGCUCAACUUUGAAAUCUGGCAGCUUCGCUGUCCGAGUUGUAGUCUCGAGAAGUGUUUUCCGCGCUGGACCAUGUAUGAGUCUGUUGGAAUACAGCGUCAUAGAGGGUGAGAACCCCGUUCAUGACAUGCCUUCCAGUGCUCUGUGAUACACUUUCGAUGAGUCGAGUUGUUUGGGAAUGCAGCUCAAAUUGGGUGGUAAAUUCCAUCUAAAGCUAAAUAUUGGGGAGAGACCGAUAGCAAACAAGUACCGUGAGGGAAAGAUGAAAAGCACUUUGGAAAGAGAGUUAAAAGUACGUGAAAUUGUUGAAAGGGAAACGCUUGAAGUCAGACGUGCGCAGCUUCGGCUAAUGCAGGCUAGCAUCGGUUUUGCGAGUCGGAUAAAGGUAAAGGGAAGGUGGCAGUCUCGGCUGUGUUAUAGCCCUUUACUGAAUACGGAUUGCGAGACCGAGGGAUGCAGCGCGCCGAAAGGCAAAGGGUUCGCCCUUUUCGCGCUCAGGAUGCUGGUGAAAUGGCUUUAAACGACCCGUCUUGAAACACG
RNAcentral lists this ribosomal RNA (645 nucleotides) under Sakaguchia lamellibrachiae. RNAcentral's name for it is "eukaryotic LSU rRNA". It matches the Rfam family "Eukaryotic large subunit ribosomal RNA", at positions 1 to 663 of the family's 3401-position model. The record is from RNAcentral. Lineage: Eukaryota; Fungi; Basidiomycota; Cystobasidiomycetes; Sakaguchiales; Sakaguchiaceae.